AGAGUUUGAUCCUGGCUCAGAACGAACGCUGGCGGCGUGCCUAACACAUGCAAGUCGUACGAGAAAAUCCGCUUCGGCGGGUGAGUAGAGUGGCGCACGGGUGAGUAACGCGUGGAUAAUCUGCCUUUAAGCUGGGAAUAACUCACCGAAAGGUGGGCUAAUACCCGAUAAUGCUAUGGGACUUCGGUUUUAUAGCCAAAGAGAGCCUCUACAUGUAAGCCUUCACUUAAAGAUGAGUCCGCGUACCAUUAGCUAGUUGGUAGGGUAAUGGCCUACCAAGGCGACGAUGGUUAGCUGGUCUGAGAGGAUGAUCGGCCACAAGGGGACUGAGACACGGCCCCUACUCCUACGGGAGGCAGCAGUAGGGAAUUUUGCUCAAUGGGGGAAACCCUGAAGCAGCGACGCCGCGUGGGCGACGAAAUCCUUCGGGAUGUAAAGCCCUUUUAACCGGGACGAAAUACAUGACGGUACCGGUGGAAUAAGCCUCGGCUAACUCCGUGCCAGCAGCCGCGGUAAGACGGGGGAGGCAAGCGUUGUCCGGAAUCACUGGGUGUAAAGGGCGUGUAGGCGGGCCGGCUAGUCGGUUGUUAAAUCUCUCCGCUCAACGGAGAAGCUGCGGCCGAUACUUCCGGUCUUGAGUGCGGCAGGGGAGGAUGGAAUCCCUGGUGUAGCGGUGAAAUGCGUAGAUAUCAGGAGGAACACCGGUGGCGAAGGCGGUCCUCUGGGCCUGCACUGACGCUGAGUGCGCGAAAGCUGGGGUAGCAAACAGGAUUAGAUACCCUGGUAGUCCUAGCCAUAAACGA
Molecule: ribosomal RNA, 803 nt
Filed under: uncultured bacterium
Lineage: Bacteria
Description: bacterial SSU rRNA
Rfam family: Bacterial small subunit ribosomal RNA
Source: RNAcentral